This 255-nucleotide ribosomal RNA is filed under the name uncultured bacterium. RNAcentral's name for it is "partial 16S ribosomal RNA". It matches the Rfam family "Bacterial small subunit ribosomal RNA", at positions 524 to 776 of the family's 1533-position model. The record is from RNAcentral.
UACAGGGGGUGCAAACGUUGCUCGGAAUCAUUGGGCGUAAAGCGCACGUAGGCGGUUCGUUAUGUCGGAUGUGAAAGCCCUUGGCUUAACCGAGGAAGUGCAUCCGAAACUGGCGAGCUGAGUACGAAAGAGGAUCGCGGAAUUCCCGGUGUAGAGGUGAAAUUCGUAGAUAUCGGGAGGAACACCCGGUGGCGAAGGCGGCUACUCUGGGUCCGAUACUGACGCUGAGGCGCGAAAGCGUGGGGAGCAAACAGG